AGUGAACGCUGGCGGUAGGCCUAACACAUGCAAGUCGAACGGCAGCGCAGUAAGAGCUUGCUCUUACGGGUGGCGAGUGGCGGACGGGUGAGGAAUACAUCGGAAUCUACUUUUUCGUGGGGGAUAACGUAGGGAAACUUACGCUAAUACCGCAUACGACCUACGGGUGAAAGCAGGGGAUCUUCGGACCUUGCGCGAUUGAAUGAGCCGAUGUCGGAUUAGCUAGUUGGCGGGGUAAAGGCCCACCAAGGCGACGAUCCGUAGCUGGUCUGAGAGGAUGAUCAGCCACACUGGAAAUGAGACACGGUCCAGACGACUACGGGAGGCAGCAGUGGGGAAUAUUGGACAAUGGGCGCAAGCCUGAUCCAGCCAUACCGCGUGGGUGAAGAAGGCCUUCGGGUUGUAAAGCCCUUUUGUUGGGAAAGAAAAGCAGCAGGUUAAUACCCCGCUGUUCUGACGGUACCCAAAGAAUAAGCACCGGCUAACUUCGUG
Molecule: ribosomal RNA, 492 nt
Filed under: uncultured bacterium
Lineage: Bacteria
Description: partial 16S ribosomal RNA
Rfam family: Bacterial small subunit ribosomal RNA
Source: RNAcentral